RNA transcript from Saccostrea cuccullata (small rock oyster), 2334 nucleotides. RefSeq lists it as uncharacterized. The record is from RefSeq and is a predicted model, not a curated record. NCBI's taxonomy places the organism in Eukaryota, Metazoa, Mollusca, Bivalvia, Ostreida, Ostreidae. The transcript is spliced from 7 exons.
AUCAAUCUAAUUCAAAUUAGAUGUUAGAUCCGCUUGCAUACUCGCUACACUAACAUCUAACAACAUCCCUUUGAGGGUCACGUCAGAGGUCAAAUUCUAUCAAUUAAUCAAAUCGCAGCUGGCAAAAUCAUCAUAUAUUGUUGAAGCGAAUAAAUCUUGAGGCGUUCCGAAUUUAACCUCUUACGUGACCCUCAAUGGGAUGACUUGUUAGAUGUUAGUGUGGCGAGUAUGCGAGCGGAUCUAACAUCUAAUUUUAAUUAUAUUGUUUAUAGAAUAUGAUGCAGACAGGGAUACCUGGUGAAAACCUUUCGCACCCGUUGAAUUAUACUUUGUAAAAUAUUAGUCAAAGGAGCCAGGAAAAAAUAUUAAACAAUUUAAUAUUAUGAUAAAAAUAUUCAAUUUACUAUUUCUUAAGGUGUUGAAUGGAUUUUGUUUUCUCAACAGCGGCUGGUGCACGUACCAUACUUUUACUCGUAAACUCAAUUUGGCGGUGAAGAAGCAGCAUUUUCUGUUGCUCACCGUCGCAAUAGCUGAGCAUUGCUCUACGAGCAAUGUGCCCGGCUAAAAAUCAUAAUAUUUGUAAUGAUAUAUCAUAUUCUAGACUUGACAUACAAUAAACAAUGAUAAGAAUUAUUGUCGCAUAUCUGCAGUGAUUUUCUUUGAUCUUUCUGUGGUGAUAAUUUAUCCCAUAUCACAUGUGUGAUAAUACUUUCCAAACAUGUUUCAAAGUUUUUACACUCUUUAUCAUACAGUUUUAAAGAACAGUUUUAUGAGCUCAUAAGUAUAUUAAAUGGUUGAUUUAUCAAAACCUGCAUUUAAAAAUUCAGAAGUCUUAAGUUAAACCAAAUUGUCCAGGGUAUUCUUAGUAAGGUAUGUCAAAGGUCAUGGUUAAGUGACUUUGUAAGGCUGCUAUUUUUUCUUUAGUUUUAUGGCAAUCAGUGCACAUGGUAAAUAGCAUAAAAUUACCCUUAAAGGUCUUAUGCAAGGAGAUAGCUAAUUAAAAUGAACAAAUGUAGUUCUAUGUAUGAUGUAUAUAGAGACAAUAAUAUUUCUUUUCUUUUUUCAUUUUCAGGAACUUUACGUAGGUCUACAGUUUUAAUUUUGGACUCAUACACUAGGAAUAUCAUAUCAGCAGAAUUGUGCCAGGGUAUAGGAGUAGCUUCCCCUUUUAAAGAUCCAAAAUGGUGAUUUUACAGUGCGGCAUGCAGUCUGGUCAUCAACGAAGAGUUUUGACACCUGUAAUACCCAUAUUUCUACCAUUCACCAUUCACCUCUGUAACCUUUGUUGAGUUCAUCAGACUGUCCAAGACAGGAAGUUGAAGAAUAAAGUUGACAGGACAUCCUGAACUGUCCUCGCUACAAGCUUAUGAGGGAACCAGCUGCAGUGGACAAAGUACGUUACAUCAUAGGAUAAUAGCAUUGAAUUGGAUUCUUGAACUAGAGCCAUGUGAACCUGGUCCACCUGUACCUCUCAUUAAAGACCUGUUAACAUCACCAGAGUAUGUUCAUUCUGAUACCCCUAUGGUAUGGUUACAGCAUGCAUUAUCCCUGAAUCCAUUAAAAGAGCUGCAUUGGCAACGAAACAACCCAAUGUGGUCGAUUGUAAGGAAAUAUAGCAUAUCAGGUUCCAACUUUGGUGUAGUUCUCAGUUCUAAGCAAAGGCGAUUGACAUUGUCACUGAAGAAACAGCUGAUGUCGGCUUACAAUCUGGAGUCCGUCAAAGCUGUUGCAUGGGGUAUCACUCAGGAAGAUGAUGCUUUGAGAAAGUAUGAAAAAGACUUUGAUGCAGCUGUAGAGCAGUCAGGAUAUGGUUGCAUGAAUCCGGAGUGUUGGGAGCUUCACCUGAUGGCUUAGCUGUUCGACCACCAACAUGCAGUGUAUUUUAUCAAACUCCAGAAGCCAAAGACGCCAUUCCUGAUAUUGUAGAGGUGAAGUGUCCAUAUACAGCAUCGUCUUCAACAGUAGCAGAUGAGGCACAAAAUUUGAAGGAUUUUUCAUAGAUCUUAAACAAGAUACCCUGUGCCUGAAAACCAGUCACCCAUACUAUCAUCAAAUUCAAGGCCAGCUACACAUAUGUAACAAAACAUUCUGCGACUUAAUUGUGUGGACAAGAGUAGACUGCAUUGUGAUUAGAAUAGUAAAAGACAUUGAAUGGACAGCAAAUGUUCCAAAGCUGAUAGAUUUCUACAUUAACAUUUUCAUUCCAGCACUGAUGGAAAACUGAGUUCUGGUUUGAACUUCUUGACACUUAGUUUUGUACCUCUAGAAUUUUCUAACAAUGGAAAAUGGGUAAUCAUGUUAGAUGUGUUGAAUGUUCCUAAGUCUUAUAAAUGU